This 402-nucleotide unclassified non-coding RNA is filed under the name soil metagenome. RNAcentral's name for it is "partial contains 5.8S ribosomal RNA, internal transcribed spacer 2, and large subunit ribosomal RNA". The stretch from base 1 to 120 matches the Rfam family "5.8S ribosomal RNA", at positions 35 to 154 of the family's 154-position model. The record is from RNAcentral.
GAUGAAGAACGUAGCGAAAUGCGAUAAGUAAUGUGAAUUGCAGAAUUCAGUGAAUCAUCGAAUCUUUGAACGCACCUUGCGCUCCUUGGUAUUCCUUGGAGCAUGCCUGUUUGAGUAUCAUGAAAUCCUCAAAAUAUAUCUUUCGUUCAUUUGAUUGGUUUUAUUUUGGACUUGGAGGUCUGCAGAUUCACGUCUGCUCCUCUCAAAUGCAUUAGCUGGAUCUCAGUGAGCUCGGUUCCACUCGGCGUGAUAAGUAUCACUCGCUGAGGACACUGUAAAAAGUGGCAGGGAUUGCAGAUGAACCGCUUAUAAUCGUCUAUUAGCUUAGACAAUUAAAUCUUAUGAUCUAAUCUCAAAUCAGGUAGGACUACCCGCUGAACUUAAGCAUAUCAAUAAGCGGGA